UACGGGGGGCGCAAGCGUUGUUCGGAUUUAUUGGGCGUAAAGCGCGCGUAGGCGGUUUGUUAAGUCAGAUGUGAAAGCCCACGGCUCAACCGUGGACGUGCAUUUGAAACUGGCAGACUUGAGUAUUGGAGGGGGUGGUGGAAUUCCCGGUGUAGAGGUGAAAUUCGUAGAUAUCGGGAGGAAUACCGGUGGCGAAGGCGACCACCUGGCCAAAUACUGACGCUGAGGUGCGAAAGCGUGGGGAGCAAACAGG
RNAcentral lists this ribosomal RNA (253 nucleotides) under uncultured bacterium. Its description in RNAcentral is "partial 16S ribosomal RNA". It matches the Rfam family "Bacterial small subunit ribosomal RNA", at positions 524 to 776 of the family's 1533-position model. The record is from RNAcentral.